This 497-nucleotide ribosomal RNA is filed under the name uncultured bacterium. RNAcentral's name for it is "partial 16S ribosomal RNA". It matches the Rfam family "Bacterial small subunit ribosomal RNA", at positions 28 to 507 of the family's 1533-position model. The record is from RNAcentral.
GAUGAACGCUGGCGGCGUGCCUAAUACAUGCAAGUCGAGCGAACAGACGAGGAUCUUGCUCCUCUGACGUUAGCGGCGGACGGGUUAGUAACACGUGGAUAACCUACCUAUAAGACUGUGAUAACUUCGGGAAACCGGAGCUAAUACCGGAUAAUAUAUUGAACCGCAUGGUUCAAUAGUUAAAGACGGUUUUGCUGUCACUUAUAGAUGGAUCCGCGCCGCAUUAGCUAGUUGGUAAGGUAACGGCUUACCAAGGCAACGAUGCGUAGCCGACCUGAGAGGGUGAUCGGACACACUGGAACUGAGACACGGUCCAGACUCCUACGGGAGGAAGCAGUAGGGAAUCUUCCGCAAUGGGCGAAAGCUUGACGGAGCAAAGCCGCGUGAGUGAUGAAGGUCUUCGGAUCGUAAAACUCUGUUAUUAGGGAAGAACAAAUGUGUAAGUAACUAUGCACGUAUUGACGGUACCUAAUCAGAAAGCCACGGCUAACUACGUG